This is a long non-coding RNA of Budorcas taxicolor (takin), 989 nucleotides long. RefSeq lists it as uncharacterized. The transcript is spliced from 4 exons. NCBI's taxonomy places the organism in Eukaryota, Metazoa, Chordata, Mammalia, Artiodactyla, Bovidae. The record is from RefSeq and is a predicted model, not a curated record.
AGGGACUUGGUUUCCUCAGCUAAAAUGAGAGGGUUGUCCUGGAGACCCUGAACGCUUCACCUCUAACAUCAAAGAGUGCUCGUGAACCAUUAAAUGAAACAAAGAAGCAGAGGAAGGAGGAGGCAGUAAGGGAGCAAGAGAAAUAAAGUACAAUGUUGUCGCAGAGCACCAGAUUCGAGCUCCCAGCAUCAUACAGCAAACUCCCACUGCCGUUUAUUUCAUAUAUGGUCUUACUUUCGACAUGCAGGAUCUUCAGUUGCAGCAUGCGGGAUCUAGUUCCCCAACCAAGGAUUGAACCCGGGCCCCCUGCAUCAGGACUGUGGAGUCUUAGCCACUGGAGUGUGUGCUAAGUCACUUCAGUCGUGUCCGACUCUCACUGACCCUAUGGACUGUAGCCCGCCAGGCUCCUCUGUCCAUGGGAUUCUCCAGGCAAGAACACUGGAGUGGGUUUCCAUGCCUUCCUCGAGGGGAUCUUCCUGACCCAGGGACUGAGCCCAUGUCUCCUCUGUCUCCUGCAUUGGGUGGGUUCUUUACCACUGCCACCACCUGGGAAGGCCCUAAGCUAGACGCUGGACCACCAGGCAAGUUCCUAAGCUCAUAAUGUUUGGAGCCCCAGUGGUAGCUGCUGCCUUCUCCCUUUCAUAGCCAGGCUGAUGAUGGCCGUUUUGGGGGCAGCACCCGGACCAGGCUGCUUAGGGAACAAGAGUCCGUCGGUGGCUAGUGGCUUCCUCUCUUUCUUAGAAUGGAUGGCUAAAGACUUUGGUUUUCCUUGGAGAACGAACAUAGAGUUGCCAUGGGGAAGGGAUAGUUAGGGAGUUUGGGAGGGAUAUGUACACACUGCUGUAUUUAAAAUGGAUAACCAACAAGGACAUAUUGUACAGUACAUGGAACUCUGUUCAAUGUGAUGUGGCAGCCUGGAUGGGAAGGGAGUUUGGGGAGAAUGAAUACAUGCAUAUGUAUGACUGAAUCCCUUCGCUGUUCACCUGAAA